UGAGAAAUAUUGGUCAAUGGCCGCAAGGCUGAACCAGCGACGCCGCGUGGGCGAUGAAGGCUUUCGGGUCGUAAAGCCCUUUUCUGCGUGACGAGGAAGGACGGUAGCGCAGGAAGAAGCGUCGGCUAACUACGUGCCAGCAGCCGCGGUAAAACGUAGGACGCAAGCGUUAUCCGGAGUUACUGGGCGUAAAGGGCGUGUAGGCGGCGCUUCAAGUUCGUCGUGAAAGACCCCGGCUCAACCGGGGGAGGUCGAGGGAGACUGAGGCGCUGGAGGACGGUAGAGGGACAGGGAAUUCCGGGUGUAGUGGUGAAAUGCGUAGAGAUCCGGAGGAACACCAGUGGCGAAGGCGCUGUCCUGGGCCGUUACUGACGCUGAGGCGCGAAAGCCAGGGGAGCAAACGGGAUUAGAUACCCCGGUAGUCCUGGCCCUAAACGAUGAAUGCUUGGUGUGGCGGACUAAACCCUGCCGGUGCCGAAGCCAACGCGAUAAGUUAGCCGCCUGAGAACUACGGCCG
This 517-nucleotide ribosomal RNA is filed under the name uncultured bacterium. RNAcentral's name for it is "bacterial SSU rRNA". It matches the Rfam family "Bacterial small subunit ribosomal RNA", at positions 355 to 888 of the family's 1533-position model. The record is from RNAcentral.